CCCGCCUCCCAAAUGGAACCUAUAACCAGUCAAUGCAGAAAUUUCCUGGUCAGCAUUGAGACAUUUACUGAUAGACCCCAUCUGUUCCCCUUAGGAGGGCAACCUUGCCUAAAACAAUGGAUUCUUAGCUAAUAAUUUCCUUUUUUCAACUCUCUACCUUUAAAAACCUUUCCUUUUCUGUAGCCCUUUGGAACUCCCCUAUACUUGCUAGAGGGGAUGCUGCCUGAUUCCUAAGUUGAUUAGAUCUUUCAGAUUUACUCGGCUGAAUUUUUGUUAUUUACCAAUAUAAAUUUGUUUAACCAGCUUUCUAAAAUGUAGCGAAUUUAAACCAGCUCUGAGGAAUUGGGAGAAUGUUUUGGAAGUAGGUCUUCAAUAACCUGCUAUGUUGUAUACGGGCAAUAACUAAUUGUGAAUUCCUUUUUACUGCGUGGCCAAGAGACUCUUCUUCUCUAGGCCAUUCUUACACUAGGAAAGGGUGAAUACUCAUGAAAUGUUUAUGUAUAUGUAUAUGUAGCCAUUAGUCUCCAAAGAUGGCCCUCCAGCAGUCUUCUCUUUUUAUACAUAUGUUGCUCCCUACAUCAAGAGGUGAAGCUUAUUUCCUGUCCCACGUACCCUUCCCUCUCUUGAAUCUGAGCUGGCUUUGUGACUACCUUUGACCAAUAGAAUGUAGCAGAAGUGACAUUCUGGAACUUCUGUAGAACACCAGGUCUUAAAACCGGCAACUUUCACUUCCUGCUUCUUGGCUAGCUACCAUGCUAUGAAAACCCCAUGGCACAAGGAGGGGUACUGGGAUAGACCCAGGCGAGCUGACCCGUAGAUGCAGGCAGAGAGAGCCGCGAUGUAUCGCUCUCAACCCCUGCUGCUUGCGGACCUCCUGGCUGAAGGCUUCCUUUCCAGCAUGAGAUCGGCGGCAGUUCACGCAGCUCUUCCAAGAGAUAACAGGACAAUUGGCGGUGUUUCUUUGGUUUGGAGAAAAAAAAAAGUCCAGUCUGUAAAACAUUAAAACUCCAGACUCUACCCAAUAAGACUCCUCACUGACAAGGUGAGACUGCCGUCGGCUGGAAAAUGAGCCACGAGGGCUGGAGGACCUGGCCAACAUCUCGUCUCCAUCCCCCUGAUCGGCUGGUCACCUCUUCAAAGGCAACCUGUUCCUGGAACAAGCCAGACUUGUGUAAAAAGAAAGUAACUGUUUUCUCGUGAACGCCCCGACAAACCUGAGGUCAUGGUUUGGUCUCCCGUGUGCCUGGAUGAAAUUUACAGCUUUUCCAGUCUCUGCAAAGUAACAAACAGGCCAAAGAGUUGUCAUCAUCAUCAUUUCAGAAAUAGUCUCUUGUUCUGGCUAUCAACAAGUCUCAUCGAGUGAUCGAUCAAAACUUCAAAUGUCAGUUAAUUUUAAAACUUCUUCCCUUCCCCGGCCCGGAAAUCUGAGGGAGAACGGGGGUCACGGUCAGCGUCAUUUUGAUUUCUCGCACAGGACCUCUUCCCACUCGUGGCUGUUCCGGGCCUGCUCUCGUGUGGCCGCAGGGGAAGGAGAGGGGGUGUUCCCUUUGGCCGGACUCCUUCUUGAAAUGGCCAAACCUGCCUGCCUCUCUCAAGAAGCACAGCAAGCCUUCGGGAACCCAGGAACUUGGGGCGUGCAAGCCAUUUGGAGCGCAGUCUUCUCUCCUCUUCUGUCUUCUCAAGGAGCCAGCCACCGACAGUUUGUCUUCAGACUUUAGGAAGAAGUCAGACACCAGUCCCUUUGUCCCUGAAACUCCGCAGGCUGUAUCAAACUCCCCGGGUGGUCCUCUUGAAGCGCCCCCUCAUUUGGCCUGAAGCAAAGAGGGAGCACCCCCCACCCUCCCCUGCUUGGGGAGAAGGGGAAACGUCCAGCAUACAGACAGCUACUUCCAAAGAAAUCCUCUCACAUUCUCUUCCAUAGCCUGAGGUGGAUGCCGAGCUAAUCCUUCCCAGUAUUGAGCUAGUGCUUCCCGGGGUCCAUUUCACAACCUCUUAGGGUGGGUGCAUAGGUGAUCUGGCUCCUCCUCCCUUUAGAAUGUGGACAGAUUGGCGCCUAUGGUUUGGUUCUCAGCCUUUGGGGUUUCUGGUGAAACUGACACAGAAAGAGUGCCGUUUUAGUAAAUGAAGUCACCACUGUCAACCCCUCCUCCUUAUGGAACUCCUGUUCUUACAUCAGGACACCUGAUGCGCUGUAGGUGAUCUGCAAGAGUCUGACUUAUGAAAUGGACUGUGAAUGUACAGUUCAUAUAGAAUUAAGUACUAAGUAGCAUAUAUAUUAUAAUUUCAUAUUCAAUAUUAAUGUUUGCAUACUAUA
Long non-coding RNA from Felis catus (domestic cat), 2314 nucleotides. RefSeq lists it as uncharacterized. The transcript has 3 exons. NCBI's taxonomy places the organism in Eukaryota, Metazoa, Chordata, Mammalia, Carnivora, Felidae. The record is from RefSeq and is a predicted model, not a curated record.